RNAcentral lists this ribosomal RNA (253 nucleotides) under uncultured bacterium. Its description in RNAcentral is "partial 16S ribosomal RNA". It matches the Rfam family "Bacterial small subunit ribosomal RNA", at positions 524 to 776 of the family's 1533-position model. The record is from RNAcentral.
UACAGAGGAUGCAAGCGUUAUCCGGAAUCAUUGGGCGUAAAGCGUCUGUAGGUGGCUUUUUAAGUCCGCCGUCAAAUCCCAGGGCUCAACUCUGGACAGGCGGUGGAAACUACCAAGCUGGAGUACGGUAGGGGCAGAGGGAAUUUCCGGUGGAGCGGUGAAAUGCGUAGAGAUCGGGAAGAACACCAACGGCGAAAGCGCGCUGCUGGGCCGACACUGACACUGAGAGACGAAAGGUAGGGGAGCGAAUGGG